ACCUAGCCCGCGCCCCCGCAACGCCCGUCGCCGCCUCCUCUCCUGCCGCCGCCGCCGCCUCCUCUCCUGCCGCCGCCGCCGCCUCCUCUCCUGCCGCCGCCGCCGCCGCCUCCUCUUCGUCGGUGCUAUCGAAGCCUGGGCUACGUGAGCGCGCGAGCCGCUGGUGAUGCUCGAGGCGUGACCGUUGGGCCGGGGACAGGUGCGCGCGCUCGCCGCGACGGGAACGAGAGUUGUCCCCACUCCUUCUGUUCCCCAUCGCCGGCCUCCUCUCAGCCUUGGCCUCGUUGCUCACGGGAGAGAGAGAGAGAGAGAGAGAGAGGAGGAGAAGGAGGCGGCGGCGGCCGCGGCGGCCAGAAGGAAUGAGGGGGUCGGGGCGUUGGUUCUCCCCGACACCAUCUGGCCUUCUCCCCGUCUCAGUCGUGUGGUCUCGACGACGCCGCCCUCACGCUCCUUCUCCUCCGCGUCGACAGGACUCUCUCUAGCCUCUCGCUCCACCUCCUCGCACACUCCUGCAGAUUAUCUUGGCAAUCAAGCCAACAAAUCAAAAGGAGACAAAGGAAAAUGUGUGACCAAAGGAGUCAAGCAAAAGCACACCAAGCAAAUCACCACCAUUGAAGUUUCAGCAUCUGUUUUUCGUAGUUGGACUAAAUCCGAUUAGAAGGAGAUGGUGCCCAGCGAUGGGGUGCUUGGCCGCUGCCGCCGCCUAGGAUGACCUCUUCGUCGGUGCUAUCGGGAGCCUGUGCUACGUGCCUGACGAGAACUCCGCGAGCAGGUGCAGAGGAGCAAGUUUUGGUUGGAAUUGAAAUUCCUGAAAGCAAGGCAACUGAAUGGAUUAAAGCUUGAAAGCUCAUACCUGGAUGGUUUUUGUCACACCAAAAUGAAGUAUAAGAAAACCUUAUAAAAGAAGAAACAUACCUGUCUGGGCGUCCUUGCUAUCGUCGUUUCCAACCCGUCCGCAGGGUCUGCUGCUCUUGGGUGCCCUUUUGGGUAAUGGUCUAGCUGUUUCCUUGCAUCCAUGUUGCUGCAGGGUUGUAGUCGUACCCGUGGCCAUGGUUAUUACUCAUCAACUUGGUCGUGCUCAUGUGGACUAUUUAUUUCCAACAACGCCAUCAAACCAUCAGAGGUUCCUCGCCGGUUUCCUUUUGCUGCACCUUUGUUUGGUUGCUCUAGGGUGAGAGAACCUCUCUGCGUCUGUAUGCUGAUUUGGUCAUGGAAUUCGAGCCUCAUUUACUGCACCUCCGGCAAUGAAGGAUCAGUACACGCCCAAUCUUUCGUGGCCUCCUCUCACAAGAACUUCUACAUCGCUGGUUGGAUUGGAUAUUCACAGAACUUGAUAUCAUAUACUUUGGGCAUUGCUGAAACAACUGAAUGUCAAAGCUACAUGCUUUCUUUUGAUUGUUGUAGCCAUCCUUCAUCGCCAGAGCCAUGGGGUGCCUAUGGGCUGUCCAUUUGUGUGGAUGUAUUUAGCUGUGGCGUUUAUGGCAGCUGCAGCAGCUUGUCAAUUAGUUCUUAGUCAAGGACAGUUAUAUGUGUGGUGUGAAGAUGGUCGUUCUUCAAUUUGAAAGUAAACAAGCGGCCUCCAUUAAGGUCUACCGACAAUCAUGUAGUUUGGAUUACUCUGGGCAAUUCUCUCCGGAGUUGAGAGUACUCUGAGCACUGCCCAUAGCGUGCCACGACGACCGUUUGCACUAUAGGUGCCUCGCGACGCAGUCCUCAUAUGAGAAGUGGGGAUUCCACCAGCAUUCUCACAAAUAGGUGCAAUAUGAAAUGGAAAGGUGUUCGCCUGGCUUCUCUUGGCUGACAGGCUGAAUAUGAAUAUGCUACGCAGGAGGCACUACAGAGUUGCUAAUGACUAUACAUGCCUGUUGUGUGAUAAUCCUCCCGAGGAAACCCUGGCAAUUCGCUAGGGUGACUUGGCCAAACUCUGAAUGUAGACUUGAGAUGUUGCACAUGGGAAAACAAACUUGGCACAAACCCCUGUUCAUGGAAACUUUCAUUGUUGCCGUAUGGGGAUCUGGAUGGAGAGAAAUGACAAGUCCUUCAGAGGAAUGCCCAUGCAAGUAUUAUCCAACAAUAACAAGUCUACUUAUUCAUGCAUGCACACCCUCAGAAGACCACAGUCGGCCUAAGAAAUCUUCUCUGCUCAAACUAUGCAUGCUUAUCUAUAUAAGGCAUCUCUGCCUAUGUUGCUUGCUUUUUGAAAGCAUUGUAAAUGGCUAUCAAAACUUCUUAUAAUGCUAUGUAUCAGCAUCAUACCGAAGUAUAUAUUUCUUUAUGACUAAAUAUUCU
RNAcentral lists this ribosomal RNA (2289 nucleotides) under Triticum aestivum (bread wheat). Its description in RNAcentral is "partial small subunit ribosomal RNA". The record is from RNAcentral. Lineage: Eukaryota; Viridiplantae; Streptophyta; Magnoliopsida; Poales; Poaceae.